This 337-nucleotide long non-coding RNA is filed under the name Nicotiana benthamiana. RNAcentral's name for it is "long non-coding RNA (NBEN_LNC015564)". Lineage: Eukaryota; Viridiplantae; Streptophyta; Magnoliopsida; Solanales; Solanaceae. The record is from RNAcentral.
CCUGACCCAUUCCCCACAAUAUACACUCAGAUACGUACGCAGCCCUAAUCUCCCAGAGGUAGAGACGCGUACUGUUCUUCUUCUCCUAAAAACACCUGAAUCCACUCCCAAAAUUCGGACGAGUGAGCCCCAAUCUCACCUCGCGCGUUCCCCCUCUCUCCUCGUCACCAUAUUUCUAACUGUUCCUGACAGAUUCCCUUCACUCUCAUGAUCUUUUCCUUUUUAUUUGGAUUUUUACCUUUGAAUGAUAGAUUGGAACCAAUCUACUCCCUCCAUUUGUUCCUCUCUCAUCAGGACGGGUGUGAAAAUCUAUUUUGGAGGGGGGGGAAGGGGGGNN